GUCCACGCCGUAAACGGUGGGUGCUAGCUGUGGGCCACAUUCCACGUGGUCCGUGACGAAGUUAACACAUUAAGCACCCCGCCUGGGGAGUACGGCCGCAAGGCUAAAACUCAAAGGAAUUGACGGGGGCCCGCACAAGCGGCGGAGCAUGCGGAUUAAUUCGAUGCAACGCGAAGAACCUUACCAAGGCUUGACAUAUAGAGGAAAAGUGCAGAAAUGUACUCCCCGCAAGGUCUCUAUACAGGUGGUGCAUGGUUGUCGU
Molecule: ribosomal RNA, 262 nt
Filed under: uncultured bacterium
Lineage: Bacteria
Description: partial 16S ribosomal RNA
Rfam family: Bacterial small subunit ribosomal RNA
Source: RNAcentral